This 733-nucleotide unclassified non-coding RNA is filed under the name Hevea brasiliensis (rubber tree). Lineage: Eukaryota; Viridiplantae; Streptophyta; Magnoliopsida; Malpighiales; Euphorbiaceae. The record is from RNAcentral.
UCUGCCUUCAACUCCCCGCUGAAAAUCGCCAGUUUCGUUUCCGUCACGAACAACGUCGACGAAGACGAUGUGCUUCAUGAUUACACGGCUCUACUCUUGGAAGACAUUGAGAGGUUCGAUCAAGAACGCAGGGAUCGGGAAGCAUGCGAGAAUUUGAUGCGAGAAAUGAGAGAGGAUUUGGACCGUCGGAUUCAUGAUCAGAAUCUGGCUAACGAAAUAUUGAACAUCCCCGAUGACGAGUGGGAGAAUUACGGGGAUCACUAUCAUAGGCCGUAUGGAGAUGACGGCGGCUCUAGCUCUUCUUUUCCGUUGAUUAACGAGUUAGCACUUGUGAAUAGUGAGAGUUUUAAGGUGUAUUGUAAAGGACUGAAGAGUAAAGAGAUGAUUAGGGAAAUGAAUGUUGUAGUAGGUGGGGUUGGUGUGGCAAUUUGUGAUUCGAGGGACAAUGUGAUUUUUGAGGUGAGUAAGGGUUUGGAGGAGGAUUCUUGUGGUAAAGGGAAAGACGUGAGUAGUGAAGAGGCGGUUCAGAUUGAGGCUUUGAUUGAAGGGUUGAAUGCGGCUUUGAGUUUGGAUUUGAAAAACGUCACCUUCUUUUGUGAUGACUUUAUGGUAUAUCAAUAUGUGACAGGAAGAGUUCAACCAAUUCAAAAUAGAAUUUCAACCUUAGUCAAUACAAGCCUUCAUUUGCCCCUUCUCAACUGUUGAUUAUAAUUGAGUUUUUAUUUGAAUGGGC